This 94-nucleotide transfer RNA is filed under the name Bipolaris sorokiniana. Its description in RNAcentral is "Cochliobolus sativus tRNA". It matches the Rfam family "tRNA". Rfam says of the family: Transfer RNA (tRNA) molecules are approximately 80 nucleotides in length. Their secondary structure includes four short double-helical elements and three loops (D, anti-codon, and T loops). Further hydrogen bonds mediate the characteristic L-shaped molecular structure. tRNAs have two regions of fundamental functional importance: the anti-codon, which is responsible for specific mRNA codon recognition, and the 3' end, to which the tRNAs corresponding amino acid is attached (by aminoacyl-tRNA synthetases). tRNAs cope with the degeneracy of the genetic code in two manners: having more than one tRNA (with a specific anti-codon) for a particular amino acid; and 'wobble' base-pairing, i.e. permitting non-standard base-pairing at the 3rd anti-codon position. Lineage: Eukaryota; Fungi; Ascomycota; Dothideomycetes; Pleosporales; Pleosporaceae. RNAcentral also lists the same sequence under 1 other name. The record is from Rfam by way of RNAcentral.
GACACGAUGGCCGAGUGGUCUAAGGCGGUAGAUUUAAGUCUUGCUAAGAUCUCUACUACAGAAAUGUGCGUGGGUUCGAACCCCACUCGUGUCA